CAGAACUUAACAUAAAUAAAUGUGUCUCACUUACAUUGAGAAGAUGAUUAUAUAUUAGUCAGUUUUGA
This 68-nucleotide transfer RNA is filed under the name Heterololigo bleekeri (Bleeker's squid). Its description in RNAcentral is "tRNA-Val". Lineage: Eukaryota; Metazoa; Mollusca; Cephalopoda; Myopsida; Loliginidae. The record is from RNAcentral.